CUACAUUGAUAAUAAGGUUGUCAUCAUCGUCAUCCAUUUCUUGGUCAACAAAAUCUUCAUUAGCCUGAAUAGCUGUCAUUGCUUCCUGGAUUGGAUCUUUUACCAUAAUCAUUCUAUCGUUUGCACCAGCCACCACAUUGAGAAUGAGGUUAUCAUCAUUUACCAUUUCUUGGUUGACUAGAUUCUUGUCAUUCUGCAAAUGAUCAACUGUACCAUUUGAGCUUUGAACUUUCUUAGAUAAUUUAAAAUCCCUAGGGUUUCCUCAGAAUAGUUCUCCCUCUCAAAAAUUCUGUUCAACACUGAAUUCAUGAUGUUCAGCUCUUUCUCAUCCAUUCCACCAUCCUUUGAGUCAUAAUUACAAAGUGAUUUUUGCUUGUCCAUAUGAGUAGUACCAGAGUGCUCUUCACAAUCACAAAAAUGGAUAGGUAAGGAAGGAACUUCCACUCGCUGAAAACUGUAUUUAUGCUUGCCAGUUCCUCUAAGAGACACUGGUUUAAUCUGCACAAAGAGAUUCCAGAAGCAUGACUCUUGACGUAAUAAAAAACAUAGGUCUUACUAAAAGAGAUUGCAUUCAAAUGUAAACCAUGCAGUCACCUUUCCCGCCAUAAGUCAUCUAAGAAUAAUUGUAUCAAGAGAAGGACGUCAUAACCAAGCACAGGGAAAAAUGCAUUACCUUUCCUAAUUUUGGGAAGUAAAUCCGAAUUUGCGCUUCAUCCAAUUUGGAAUCUUUCUUCUGACUUUUCAGGGAGUCCAUCCUUUCAGCUUCACUAACAGGAAGAUGGGUCGAAGUAGUGGCAAGUGUAGCAUCUUCUUCCCACUCACGUUUCAUAUGAAGAAAAAAGUGUUCCUUUGCCUUCUCUAUUCUAAGCCUCCCACCUUUCCACAUGCAUCCAUUAUACUGCAGAUCAAAAUUGGAUUAGCACCACUAAGCAUCAAGGUGAUACCUUAGGAGUAGAUUUUAAAAGGAAAGACUCCAUUCACUUGCUGCAAAUUGAUUAAGUUAUCCUAAUAACCAGUGUUUUGGACGGCAAAAGGUGACAAGAGUCUGCCUCGUCAUAAGGCGAGGCGAGGUGCUCGCCUCACGGCCUCACCGCUCUCAUUUUGAAAGUGCGGCAUCAAUUAAUACCAAAAGUUAAAAUAUGUAUUUGCAUAUGUAAAUAAUCAAAAUCUCAAAAGCAAUAAAACAUUACCAAAUAUUUCAAUUCAAAAAAUGAAAAUAGAUAGUACUUACUAAAAGUCUAUAACUUGAAUGAGGAAAAAAAAACAUAACAAAAUCAAAACAAAGGUAGAAGUGAUUUUAAAGUCUGAAGAAGGAAAAAGAAAAAGAGGAAGAAGAAAUAUAUAUUGGUUAGACUUUGGAGUCGCCGGAAAAGCCUGGCUAGUUGCCAGAGGAGUCUAGUCGAAAAUCCUAAAAUUACCUUUUAACUUUUAAAAUCCUAAAUUGGUCGCUUCUUUUUUUAAGAAAAUACAAAAGGUGAUGCCUUUCUUGCCUCUUGCCUCUCGCCUUUUGUUAUCAUGGCGUCGCCUUUUGAAGAUCACCACAAAGCUAAAUGGUGAUGAAGGGUCAUCUCGCCUCUCGCCAUUGACGACAAGGUGAUCGCCGUACACAACACUGCUAAUAACGAAGAGACACUUUGAUAUUAUGUGAUACUAAUGGUUACAAGGCCGAACGAUGGCCACCACAGAUAAACAACAUACAGUAAUGUCUUGCAGCACCCAAGGGAAGGGUGCAAAUGUAAUGAACACCUAAUGAGAUACUGCACUCACUGACAAGAGUUGGGCUGUUUGCUUCACAAAAACUCUAAAAUACACUAGCAUUCCUACACUCCAAACCUCUCUAAUAUGCUUAAGGUAUUCUUUCACCUCAACUUCCAUACAUGACUAAAUAAAUUAGGAGCCUUUAUCCAGGUUCUUAACCUCCUUCUCCAACUAAGGUGCCGGCUACCAUUCUUUAUGUUAUUCAUCUUUUAUCCUAGACUAGAAAUGCUACGCUAUUUGCACCAAUUCUUAUAUCUAUGCAAUGAAAACAGACAAUUUAGCAUAGUACGCACGCACAAUUAAAGUGAGAUACGGAAAGCUUUAUAGUUUAUACCGUGCUGAAAAGUUUGGGUAGGGAUUUGUCGGAAGAAGGAAGUAAAUCCAAGUAAGCAAAGCUGCGGCCUUUGGUUCGAACGAUGUCCAUAGAUUCCACUUUUCCGAGUUGUGGUGUUGAGAAUGUCUUCUUCAAAUCCUCAGCCGUCACACUUUCGCCUAAACCACCAACAUAUAUCCUUACACUUUUCUUCGUUGAUUCAUUGCCUCCUUCGCCCGUUACCAUCUCUGCCGGUGCCGCCAUAUCCAACGCAAUCAAGCUCCUUGGUCUGAAACCUAAUGCGCUUUGUUGAGGAAAACCAAGGUGUAAAUUACACUUCUGACACUACUAGAGUAUAUUAAAGAAUGAAACUUUUUUUUUUUAACAAUAGAGCUGUAUUUUGUUUUACUCUAGGGUUAGGGGCAUUUUAGGGUUUUCAUUUAUUUUUAGUAUUAUUAUUCUUGUACAAUAAUGAUUUAUCAGGCUGUACUUUUUUUAAAAGUCAAAAAAAACUUGAGCUAAAUCUGAAUAUUUUUGGCAUUUACAUAUUUUUAUCUGUUGUUGCCUUUUGUAAUUUGUGAAUAAAAAGUUGAACUCUCUUUAAUGCCCUCACGUCUUCAAGAAGAGUCUUUUCUCCAUAAACUAUACUGCUCUUUCUUGCCCAGUUUACAGGUAAGUUUCCCCUCUGCUUUUUCCGUUUUUUUUUUUAAUUAGUUGGUUUUUUCCCUUAUGGAUUUGAAUAUGGCCAAAAGAGAAGUAAUGAUGAUGGUGACUUUUAAUUAGUUGGUUUUUUUUUUCAUUUGUUUGAUUUUACGAGAUGUACAACUUUAAUGUUGUGCUGACCUUUUUCUGCUUGAUUUUUCUUUGCAGUUGUAAUUGCUACUAUUAAGUUUUUCUUUUUGUUUUGGUGAGAUGGAUUAUUGUAUUUCUUGAAAGUUAAAACACCUGAGACUAAAGCAUUAUCUUUUGGCUUUUACCUAGAAAGAAGACAGGAUCUUCUUGAUUGUGAAGAUAUGAGUUCGUUAUGCUACCCUGUUGUAUUACUACCCAAUUAAUUAUUUCCAUUUUUUUGUGUAGAUGUGGAUAAAUCAUACACUGUUGUAUUACUACCCAAUAGUUAGUGAAUUUACCAUUUCAUGUCUUUUACUAUAGUAUGUGGAUCAUGUCAGUAAAGAUUCUCAAGCAAACCACUGCCAAGUUCAUAUAAAUAGUCAAGACAUGCAUAGGUAUCAAGGUUUUGGUUAAUAGUUAUGGUUCUGCAAAGUUGCAGAUGCAAAAUAACCAUUGAAGGAAGGGAUUUGGUGUCUUAAACUUCUAUCAUGAGCAGUAGAGCAAAUAUAUUUUUUUCAGUACCAUAAUCUCUCUCCAAUUUCAUCAGGAGCAUGAAUGUGUUAUAAUUUUUUUUUAGUUUUGGUUUGGUGGAGGGAGAACGGAGCUCGUGGGGGAGUGAAUUAACUAGAGAAGUAGCAAAUAUAGUAUUUGACAUUUUUCUUGGGUAUAAGAUAGUUGCUGUUCGUUGUGCUUUCCGGUUGGCUUGUUGAGCAUGUAGAGAAAAUUGGGACACCAUAUAGCUAUGACCUGCUUCUACCAGGGAAACUCUCAAGGCAUGGAGUUGCAAGGUGGAAAAAGCGUAUUAGUUCCCACGGUAGUGUUCUGAGAUUUAUGGCAUAGUUGUAUAAUUAUUUCUAAAUACUUCGUCCUCUCUGUAAUGAAAAAUGUGAACUGGAGGACUUGGAUUCCGGGUUACAACCUCUUUUAAGUGUGUAGUAUACACUAUCGGUUGUUUCAUAAGCUUUGUAUCUCGCUAUUUUUUAUACACUUCUCUUGCAAUAGUUCUGCUUUAAAAAUAUUUCUUUUGACCUGAAGGUCUAUCGAAGAAACAACCUUUCUACUCCACAAAGGUACAAAGAUAGAGGUAAAGUAAUCCCAUGAUUAGAAAAAUUUGGAGUUGUUUUUGUGCCCAAGUUCAGUGAAUUUCUUUUCUGUGGUGGUUUACCUCGUCUUUAUCUACUCUGGGAUGGAAUAUUUGUUUUAGGUUGUGUUCCAAAUAAUAGAAUUAGACGUAUCUUAGAAACAUAUUUUUGUCAAAUUGAACAUGUGAGAUGAGCCUAACAUUUGUAAAAAGACAGUGGUCAAAGAAAGUUUGAGUAUAUGUGUAAUAAUGUUGCAGAUUUGCAUUAGCAUUUUUGUAAAUUUGAUCCAAAUUCAGGUUUACUUGGCAGUAUUCUUUGGGUUUUACAACUUUGUUAUACUGAUCUUGCGCUAUUGCUGAUAUUAAAACUUCUGGUAGUUUUUUUCUUCUUCUUUUGCUGGCUGCACCAAUUGCGCCUUACUAUAUUCUCUUUAUUUGGUGUCCUUGUGUAGUGCAAUAAAGAGAUUCUUGGUGAGGAUUAGUUUGAAUUUUUCCCCUGUAAUUGUUCUUCUCUCUGUAAAGGAAGGUGCAUGAAGUUUUAUCUUAUUGUUAAAGAAUGAUGGGUUGGCGGUGCCUAAAUGUAGGCAAUUCAUAUCUUUGUUUAUCUUCUUUUAUAGUAAGUGUAAGUCUACAGGUCCUCCGUCCAUGUCUAUUCUAAUGUAUUUAUCUGUUUUAGCCUACGGAAAACUUCUUUUGAUUCACAAUGAUCUUUUAGCCUUCUACAGUAUUUCACUUGCUUACUGGAAUCGUGACAUUUCCUAAUAUUUCUGAUUUCCCUUCAGAAAACAGUGAUAGUGCUGAUGAUAACAUUCAGCUCUCACGUUAUUGAAAAACGACUACUCAUCCCUCUCCUUUCAGUCAAGUGAGCUGAUUUUUUUUAAACAUAACAUUCCAAAAACUUGCAGAAAAAGAAACUCACGUCAACAUGAUUAAAAUCGUGAUCAUGAUUGUAUGUUGUCCCUAUGAAGUUUAUGAAUGUAAUUAUGGUAUGUUAAGUAGACUGGUUCCAUCCAGCUGAAAGCAAUCAUCAGUGUAGAAUUGACAAAAUAUUAUAUAAUGUCUCACUUGGAACAAAUGAUUCAUAACAUGCACAAAGAGUUGGAUUGUUCGAGUGAUUUUUCAUUUUGCCGCUUUUGAUGAUACAAAAUUCUUGUUACAGAAGAUAUACUCAACUACGACUCCCACCACAUACAUCAUUCAGCAAACAACAGAAUCCUUUGAUCUCCUACACACACUAUAUGGUAAGUUAUUCUAAUACAGAACCUCUAAGCUAUUUGAAAAUCAAGCUCGCGUGACUGCUGAAAAGACUGAACAAUUAAAGACAAAAGAAGCUAUCUCAGAAGUGAACAUUAUUAAUCUGCUAUCUUUGUGUUAUGGUUGUUAAAAAAAAGGGUGUUCUUUAUAGUGUUGCUUUUAAUUAUCUAAACACUGUCUACCUUGUUUUAUUUUUUUUAUGGCAAGGGAAACCCGCAGCCUCUACUCUUUGGGUGUGCACAGGGUAAAAACCCCGCUCCUAUGCAAUAGCUCACAAACCCUGUCUACCUUGUACUGAUCAAUACUUUUUAUGCACAAGAUUGUUGCUGCCAAUAUAUAUACCAUGUAUAAUAAAAUAAUGGCAAAGAAGGCUAAGUUAAAGAACACAUUUAUAUAUUAGGCUUAAAAUAGAUUUUUCACAUUGGCCCGGGCAAUGCCCGCCUACCUCCACUAGUAGAGAAUAUAAUUUUUUUUCAGGUACUAAGGAAAAUCUAUUUAAUUACCGCUGUACUAUUUCGGCAAUUGAAAACCCUAAAACCCUCAUUUCAUAUUUUCCAAAUUCUCUCUUCUACUCAAUUGUUAGAUGCACUAUCUACGUUACCCACUUGAUAAUUGAUUCAAUUUUCUCAGUAAAUCAUGUUGGGUAUUCACAAAUUCUAUAGACAAGUUCAUACAUUGUCUCGUGAAUAUGGCCCUAGCGAGACGUUGAAGAGAAAGGUUGCUGAAUUGAAGGUAAAGAGGAAACGAAAAGAUCCUCGAAAGAAUCAGUUAUUUGUUCAGGUUCCUGAUUCAAGAUCGUUCCUUGAUACUGCUACUAUGCCCAUGAUACUCACUGUUGUUGGGACUGCACUUUUCGCAAAGCUCCUCAUGAUGGUAUGAUGCUCCAUUGCAGUUUAUGUAAAGUCCUAUUUAAUAUUUGGAUGAAAUUUGAAUGAUUUUAAAAUUGGACAAACCCCUAAUAAAUAUAUUCAUUUGUUGGUUGUGAUUUUGGUGGAUUGUUAUGGUAAAUAGAAGAGAAGCUUGGGAAAUUGAUACUUGAGAAGGUUUAAAUGAUGCUUCUUAGGUGUAGUGACAUGAUGGUUCAUUAAUAUUCAUAAUCUUAAUAGGAGAACAACUUUAGUGUUGUAAUGUACCAAAGAAAUGGUAUCUCGAUAUAGAACUACUUAUAGACUGUAGAAUAUCGUCGUUUUUCUUGGUUUGAAUUAAUGACACUUAUUUCAAUUUACAUUCAAUAAUGUUAAAGGAACUAAAGUUGAAUCUUGUUGAUAUUCAUUGAGGAGGUUGAUGGAAUUUAGCUGACUUAAUAUACAAACCCCAAAGUCUCCAUCAUAGGUACUUCUUAAAUUUUUUUUUUGGUAAUUAGGAUUUUUUUUUCCACCAAAGUAGGUACUCACAAAGCUAAACAAGUCCUACUCGACUGGUUAUCACAAAAUCUGCAGUCUGCUUACAAACUUAGAGAAUUAAAACCUGGCUCAGGCAGUAGCUCUAAAACAACAAAAACAAGCAAUUCUACAAGCAAUAUCCUCCAUUGUAGUCUCUGUCUUCUCAAAAACUCUAUUUUUCCUCUCCUUCCAAAUGGCAUGAAUAAUAUCUGUGUAUACUAGUUGUAGUAGCUGGGCCUGGUGGCUUUUUCCCUUAGUCUUCUGGAUGAUUCACUGUUGCAUUGCAUUCCAAGAAUUGCUUGGAGGAUGUCUGAUAGUAGUCCAUUGAAGUAAUCUUCUCCAUAAGGAGUUGGCAAAUGCACACUCAAAAAAUAAGUGGUCUCUUGCUCCAUCUUCCUGCUUACACAUAACACAUUUAGGAUCUACUUGCAUUCUCCAUUUCAGCAACCUAUCUGUUGUAAGAAGUCUGUUCUGGAUUUGCAGCCAUAAGAUAAAAAUGGCUUUAGGUCUUGCGAAGUUGCGGCAUAUGAGACCUCUCCAAUCAACCUUUUGGGUAAUCACCUAGCAUUUGAUUUUAGGCUUGCCUUAUCUUGCAAUCAAUACCAUGAUGCAGUACAUGUAGGUGAUACUUUGCUCCAAGAACUUUUCUAACUAUUCAACAAGCUUGAGCGGGAACCCUGAGAGCUUCCAUAUUUUGGCCUUCGAUGUAAUAACUGUGUAUGCAUUUGAUCCAAAGUCUAUCCUGCUUCUUCUCUAUAUCCCAACACAUCUUUAGAACUGCUGCUUUGUUCCAUACCUUUAGAUUCACCAAGUUUAAUCCUCCCGCCACCUUUGGUGUACACAUCUUCUCCUCAGAGACUAGGGCCUUCUUAGUUAUGCUGUUGACUCCAGACCAUUUAAAACUCCUACAGUAGGAUUGGAUUGCUUUCAUCACCUUAGUUGGUAUCAUAAAAUGUUGUGUCCAGUAUGCUUGAAUCCCAAAAAAUCAAUGUCUUAACAAGCUGAACUCUCCCUGCAUAGGAUACUUUUUUAGCUGUCCAGAAAGAUAUUUUUGCUACUAUUUGAUCAAUCAAUGGCUGCCACUGAAUAAGAUUGAGUUUCUUAGUGGACAAAGGUAUACCAAGGUAUCGAAAAGGUAAGGCCCCAUGACUGUAUCCCAGAGUUUGUUGGAUGUGACACAUUACAGUACCAAAUACUCCUCCAAAAUAUAUAGCACUUUUAGACAAGUUAGCUUCCAAUACGGAAGCUACUGUGAACACAGUGAACUUGACGUGGAGUAGUUGAACUGAUAUUUGGUCACCUCUUUUAAACAUGAGGAGGUCAUCUGCAAAGCUUAAAGGUGUAUUCUUAAGCCUACUGCACAUAGGGUGGUAUUUGAAUAUCUUGUGAUUGGAUUAGUCAUUCAAGUUCCUACUUAGAUAUUCCAUGAACAUAGCAAACAAAAAGGGGGAGAUUGGAUCCCUUGUCGUAGUCCUCGAGCUGCCUCAAAAGGUUUUGUUAGUUCCCAAUUGAUCAAGAAAGAGUAGGAGACAGUAGUUACACAUUGCAUCACCCCGCCUAUGAACUUGAGAGGAAACCCCAAUGUUGACAUCAUUUGUUCUAAAUAUUUCCAAUCAAUAAUAUCAUAUGCUUUUUGGAUAUCCACCUUCAUCAUACAUCUGGGUGAGAUAUUCUUCCUGUUAUAGGCCUUGACUAGUUCAUGUGCAAGAAUAAUGUUAUUUGCCACUUUUCUCCUGGGUACAAAUCCAGGUUGUGUUUCUGAGAUCACAGUUUCUAUCACCUGGUGGAUUCUAUUUGCCAACAAUUUUUCUAUGAGUUUGUAUAGGACUGUACAACAUGCUAUGGGCUUAUACUCCUUCAUAUUGGAGGGAUUGGGAACUUUGGGUAACAGUGUAACUGCAGUACUAGUCACUGCUUUGUGUAACUUUCCAGUAGAAAGAACUCCUUAACUGCUCCCCUGUUUAAUCACAGGCAAGGUUUUUUGAAGAACAUAGCAUUGUAGCCAUCAACUCCUGGAGCCUUAUCAUCACCAAUAGAACAUAGUCCAUCAUAAGCUUCCAUCUCAGUAACCUCUACACACAAGGCCAUUUGUUGAGAUUGAUUCAGUGUUGGCCCCUACUUCAAAAUACUCUCACUGACUGCAGUUGCUUACUUGAGCAGUUACCAUUAAAGAAUUGUAAAAUGUUAUAAUCUCAUUUUGAAUUUCAUCCGGAUCCACAAAUCUUUUCUCCAUUUGCUGAAGUAAGUUUGAUAAUCUGUUUCUUGUGGUGUCUUUCUUUCAUUAUUGCUGCAAAAUACUUAGUAUUUGAGUCCCCCAAUUUAAUCCACAUAGAUCUGGAUUUUUUUUUGGAAGCUCUCCUUUAUAUUGCUCCAUUUCUCUAGUUGGAUCAAAAGAUCCUUUUCUUCCAGUGCUAUAGCAUCAGUAUACUGUGAAGAGAGUUUCAGCUGCGUAGAGUUGUAAUGUAUUCCUGAGGUGAUGGAUCUUCUUUGUAAUUUGUAUUGUUCAACUGGGUAAGAUGAGGUUUCAACUCCUUCAACUUUUGCCAAACACAUUUAAAUUUUCUAUCUUGGAACCUACCAGUCCAACUUCUUUACACAAUAAAGAACCUGAAUGGAGCUUUAAUGCUGAGUGUAGUCAUUUUCAUCUCCAGGACCAUAGGUGUGUGAUCUGGAAUGUUUGGCAAUUUGUAGUCCAGCACCAAUUGUCCAUACUAUAGCAUCCAUUCAUCAUUCCCCAUUGUCCUGUCCAGUACUAAAUAUUCUAGCUGAACCAAGUUGUUUGUUUGACCAUGAACAAAAUUCUCCUUUCCACAUCACCUCAUUUAAUAAUAGGUCUUGCACACAUUCAUCUCUUGUUACACUGGGGCACCAUACAAUCUAUCUUGACUUUGUAGAAGAGCGUUGAAGUCUCCCCAUACAAGCCUAGGUUUAUUUUAUCGAGUCGCUACUUUUAAAGUUUAUUCGACAGGUAUGGAUGUGUUGGACUUGAGGUGAACACUAAGAUAUUUUCAAUUCUUUGGUGUAGUAAACUUGCUUGUAUGUUUUACAAUCUAUAAAUCAGCUGAGUAGCUUAUAAAUUACAGUUGUGUUUGCAUGCAGUAUGAUGACUCAAAGUCGCAAGAUAUGAUUGAGCGAAAAAUAAAGAAUGCGCCUGCUGGUCAAGGAACAGUUAGGAUGCUUACCCGCGAGGAAUGGGAAUCAGUUCAGGAAGUGCGACCAAGAACUCCGUUUGAAUCUAAACUAGCUCGUCCAAAUGCAAAGCUUAGGACAGGGGAGCCUUUGAAGAUGGUAAAUGCAUACUUCUUUAACCUUUCAUUUAUCUGGUGAUAGGUAUUUUUCCUGCUAACAUUCUAGAGAACAAACAAAGUGGGUUAGAAAGCUUCCUAUAGUUGUAAGACAUUCAGGCUACUAGUGGAAUGCUUUUUAGCAGAAUAUCAAUAAUGACAAAUGAUGUUGUAGGGUCUAGAGGUUUAUUGGUAUGCUCACAUUGUUUGCCUUUUGGCCUAGAACUAGGCAUGCCAACCUUAGUGCAAAAUUAAGGUGGUGUUAGAUAGCUAGUCAAGUUUCUAUACUAGUGAUAUUCUACUUCUCGAAUGGGUUAGAUGCAAGAUCUUUUGUUUUUCACCUAAAGUAAAAGUGUGUAUUGUAUUAAUUAUCGGAAAGUAGUUAAUACAUAUUUUCUCUCCUCUUAGUUCCUCGCAUGCUAUCAGAAUCUUGUAUGAUCUUAGUAGAAUCUAAAACCCUCAUUCCGAUAGGCAUUACUCUUAUUUACCGUGCCCGUUUCGUAAUAUCAUGGCUAGUGUCAGUGAUUGUUGUGAUGGCAUCGGGACUAAUCUUGGUGAUCGUUAUGUAGCAUCGAGCGUGUUUCUGGAUACCUUUUCAGUGACACCUCACAUUUUUUCCGUGGCUUUUUUGGUGGAGCUGCACAUCUUUCCAGCAACACCACACGCCUUUUUGGUGACCAUUCCUGCAGUUACCUGCUUUUUUUUCUUCAGGAGUUAUUCUAGCAACACGAGUGUUUGUCCACUAUUCCUGCAACUACAAUGACGAUCUCCUGGCAGUCAAAACUAAUCUUUUCCCAUGACUUUUUGGGCGAUGUAAAACAAAUUUAAUCCAUUUCUCUUCUUUCCAUUAACUGCAAACCUAUCAUCUAAGUUAUUAUUUCAAGAAAAUGAAAUCUUAUGAGAUCUAGCACUUUUUGGUAUAAGCUGGUCCAUGCCCCUUUAAUAUCAGAGAUGCCUACACUAGUUGGAGCUCUAUGGAAGUUAGAAAAUCUAUCAGGAAAAUCUGGAUCAUGAUUCAUGACCUAGCUUAUAUUUUUUGGGUUAUUUGGAAUGAAAGAAACAGGAGAUAUUUGGUGGAGUUUUAAUUCCAAUUUGUAAGCUUAAGGCUAGUCCUUUGGUUAGCUUUUUUAGUUGGGCCAAUAUUUCCCCUGUAAAUAACUUAGAUUAUUACCUGGAUUUUGUCAGCUCCUUAGCCUCUGUAAGGGGUCGUUUAGUGGGAAGGAUAAUAUCAAAUAGUCCUGGGAUUAAAUUAUAGUAUCACUUAAUUUGUUGUUUGGUUGACAAGUCCGAAAUAACUUAUUCCGGGAUUAAAAUUAGUACCCGGAUUAGUUAUCCCUCCCUUUGGGUGGUAUAGUAAUAUCGGGAUAAAAUAAGUAAAUGACAAAAAUGUCUCUUUCAACCCUUUUGUUACAUCAUUUUUUACAUUUAUGAAGGAUAUUUUUGUAAACAAAUAAAUUAUUCUUAAAAUUUAUUUAUUUUGAAUGCAAUAAACCAAACACUCAAUAAAUAAUAAUCCCAUCAUAACUUGAAUUCAAACAAAACGACCCUUAAGUUCUUUGUCUUACUGAGCUGACAGAUCCCCCACUUUUUGUAUCCUUACUUCUACUAGAUGCCUUAAUGAAAUCUCACUUCAUAAAAAAUAAAAAAAUAAAAUGAAAUCUUGUGAUUCAUUGGAGUGUAAUCCACUCAUUGGAGUCAAGAGAAGGUAGAGUUUGCGCAGACCUUACCCCUACCUAAGAGGUAGUGUGGUUGCUUCCAAUAGACCCUUGGCUCAAGGAACAAUCGUCCAAAGCAGUCCAAAAAAAGUAAUGGAAGUACAAAUAGUAACAGAAUCAAAGGACAAGAAACUAUAGGAGCAAUACUAUGACUACUAACUAGUAUGGACGGAUAUUUAGACGACACACUCUAUUAUAAGAUUCUUGUUUCACUUUAUGUUUUAAUCCCAUAGUCGCCCCUAUAUUCCUGUUAGUUGUAUACCUUCCAUUUAUCAUUUGCACUACCUUUCAGGAUCCUAUCAGUACUUCUCCUCCAUCUCCUUCUGCAAACAGCUUACUCUUGACUAGUCAUAGUCGUUACCGACGCAACAUUUUCAAUGGUUCAUGCCUGCACCAAAUCCUUCUUUUAUCGUGGUAUCUGCUCCCUCCCGAUAUUUCCUAGUGGCUUCUCAAUUUUACUCCAACCCAUCUAGACCUUAUCCGUGUUUGUCGUAACCCCAAUAUUCCUCUGUUGCCCUAUUAUCUCUUUCUACCAGUGAAUUUAGAGGUGAAGCCCUUUGUCACUGUUAUUGUGAAUAUGGACUUACACUGAUAUUUAUGACAAGGUCAAAAUCUGAAACCACGUUAGUGCUUUUGUAAGGUCUCUUGCUAAUUGUAAUAGAGCUAUCAUAAGGUCUUUGCAUAGAUAAAUCCAAGGGACCCAGAUAAAAUUUUAACUAAAUCCUCAAGUCCUCGUGUAGUUUAUAGUUGGUAAGAGGAGAGGUAGAGUUAGGCCGAAGAUGUAUUGGGGACAAGUGAUUAGACAGAACAUGACAUGACUUCAGGUUACCAAAGACAUGACCUUAGAUAGGAGGGUGUAGAGGCAGUGGUGUACAGAAGAAUUUUUCUAAGUGUCACCAUUUAAUGGACAAGAAUGGCUCAAGAGGGAAAUCAAUGAAGCUUUUGCUUUAGACCUCCAAAAAUUUAAGGCCCCAUAAAUAGUGAACUUUAUGAAAUAACAUUUUAGUGAAAAUUAGUGAUAAUUGAAAUUAACGGAAACGAUAAUUGAUAAAAAUUAUCAUAUUUCCAUAAAGAAGGAUUGAUUAUCAACAAAUUUGUGUCAAAAAUGGUUAAACAUGUGUAAAAAAUGUACUUUGUGCUAUUCAACGAAUAAGAAGCCUAAAAAUAAUUACUUUGACAAAUAUUAUUUCAAAAUUGCGUAAUUUUCAACAAUCAUCCACACUUAGUAUCAUGCAUUUAACAUGAAAUCGAGCACAGUCAAGUUUGAACUUAUUCAAAAUUGAACUUCUUGGUAUUUGACAUCCCAUUUCCUUUGAAAGAGGAAAAAACAAAAAUUGAACUUCUUGGUAUUUGACAUCCCAUUUCCUUUGAAAGAGGAAAAAACAAAAAUUGUAGUUCUUGGUAUUUGCAUCCCAUUAUUUGGGUGCCAAGGGCAUGUCAUAGUGUCAACGAAGUGGUUGAGAACCAUGAGGUCUCAAGUUUAAAAUCCUAGUAGAGGCAAAAAUAACACUAGGUGGUUUCUUCACAUUUGUCCAACCCUUGGUGGAUAGAGUUACCUGUUACUUGUGUUGGUGGGAGGAAGUAAGUACCUCGUGCAAUUAUUGAGGUGUGACCAAAUUGAUCCGGACACUACGGUUAUCAAAAAAAGAAAUUGCCUUUUUUGUGGAUUUUGUGUUCUUGUUCUCAUGGACUGACAUGAGGAAACUUUGUCCUGAGUUUUCUUUCUAAAUUGAACUUGCCUCAUUCGAUGCCCUAAAGUUUCUUCCUUUUCCUUCUUUCCAGUUAAGAACGUCAAUAUUAUGAAAUACUAAAUAUUGCAAGAAUAGGUACCUUGUAAUAUGGGAAAGAUUUGGAGUCCCUGUAAUUGUGUAAUUAGGAACAAGAAAUAGUUUCUUUCCUUUUUCUGUAUUACUUGUAAAUGCUUAUUUAAAUCUCAACAUGCUUGAGAAAUCAAGAAAUUCAUUCUUCUUUCUUUUAAUGAUGUCGGAGCCGAGGGUUUGGGUCCCCGGACUGUUAAACAGUUAUUCCCUAUUUUAAUCCCAAAAAGAAUGUGAGGAAGAAAGGAAGUUGCAAAUCUGGUUCACUGACAGGAGUGUACUGACAAGUUUCAAGUCUCACGUCCCUCUUAGAAAGGCUUCCCAGUCUCCAGCAACCCCAACCCCAAAACCCUGGCACCGGAAGUCAUGAUUUGUGUCUUACGUGGCAUCCAUCAUCUUCGGCAGAGUUUCAUCACAGGCUCAUGGGUCUUUCUCCCACAACAUUCCUACCGCGAUCUCUCUAUCAAGGUCAAUCAAGUCCCCUGCUUCAUCUUCUAUUUCACUUCCUAUCAGGUUCGAUUUUCUUUCCGGAACCAGUUUGUUGUUGUUGACCUGACCUUGAGUGUUUUCUCCCAUAUGAUGAAUUGCUUCUUUCCUUUCUACUUUUUAUCCUCGAUGUUUAGAUCUUCCUUUUAGUUUUUCAUAUUCACAAUUUCCUAAUAUUGACACGUUUAAUGUCUCCAACCCUCGCAUAAUAUGUGAUUGGAAUGGUUCAAGAUCAGCUCUUCUCAAAUUUAGGCCAAAAGCGUAAAAAUGAUGAAUAUCUAUGUUGGAAGUAGUCGAUCGUCUAAAGGCAACCAGCUAUAUGACGGCCAACGGGGAACUGUUAGCUAAUAUUUUUAACGGGAAAGUUCCAAUGCCUGGUGAAAUAUUACAAAUUAGUUUGAAAGAAAUUGUCUAUCCAAAUAACGGAAGAAGCCUGUAGAAAAUGGGACUAUGGGAGUACGACGUAGUCUUCGAACUUUCUCUACUUGAGUUUUGGUUUCAGGAUUCUGUUGGGUUAGGAGCAGUGCAAUUCUUUUCGUAUGUUUUAUUUGGAAAGUUGUUCCUGAGAUCAUGCAAGAUCAUCGUGUCUUAAACGUCUUAGUUAUCUUAUAAAGUGGUACCAUUUAUGCUUUCUUGUUCUGAUACCUUAACUAUUUCCCUCAAUAAUCUUCCUGGUUCAGCUGCAUGACAACAAUGGAAUGACCAUGCUGUUUCAUUUGAUUGCUUAUAUGCAGGAAGAUGUCAAGGAUUGGACAAUAGAUGUUAUAACUGACGCACUAACACGAGCUGAAGAAUGUGCUAAACGAGGAUCAAACUAAGCUUUUAAGUCGAUAAUAGUGGUAACCUAGUUUAACAAUUGCUUCUUAUGUGUACCAGAAAGGCUCUUCAACCUCAGCUGCAAAUUACAACAUACCAUCUUCUACUAUCAAAAGUGGAGAAAUGCUGUUUUUCUCACUAUCCAGCAAUGUCAAAAUUUAUGCUUAGCAGUAUUUACUGUGAAUUAAAGUGUGUAUAUAUACUUUAAUUCACAAAGAUAAUAUUUUCAUUGAAAUUAGAGGCUGUAUGGACUGAAUUUUUCAAUAAAAGAAGAGAAUUUUUAUGGUAAACUUUCUUCUUGUUUAAUCGAUAUCUCGAUUUGUGCUUCAGCACGUGAGUCUUUAAUUUGUACGCAUUUUAGACUUCUAAAUUAAUAAGUAGUAACAAAGAAUAGGUAAUUAAAGAUUACUAUGUCACAAGCAAAGUAUAUGGAUUUAAUUUUUCUUUUGUUAGUUUGGAUUUGCAUGUUUGUGUUGAUGUUCAAUGAGAUCUCAUUUGUGACUGUAAAGUGAUUCGUUUAACUCAAAUCCUUCUAAUAGAGUGUAAAGGGUGUAUUGCUUUCUUGAUUUUGCUUCUGAUGGGGAUGUAGGGUACUGUUACUGGUUAAUUAGCAAUCUGUGUCUGUCUUACAGUGAGUCUUCAGUUUACAAAUGGAGUAAUGUUUACCAGAUGUAGAAAUUGAGGCUUCUGUGGCUUUGUCUGCAAGAGUUAGAUUUUUUGAUUCAGUACUCUUCAAUCAGUAGGACUGACUUGCUCUCUCUCCAGAUCUUUGCAGGAUGAUAAAGAACUCAUUUUUGAAUUGUUUUUAUAUCUUUUUGUGGUUAGGAAUGGGGAUUUGAUCAUCUCGUGUUCGUGGUUGUAUGAACAAGAUUGAUGUUAAAGGUUGCGCUUUUGGGUUUUGAAUUGGGUUCUAUUGUAUUUGACUAUGUUAUUUUACAGUCUUACAUAUGCAGAUUCCAGUAAAAUAUCGAAAAUCAACACAUGUGAGUGUUUCCAUUUGGGACUUCCUUUUGGACAUGAAAUUGUACCUCUUCUCCCCAAUCAACCUGUCUGUAAGCGGUUUUGGCUUGUUACUACAAAAAUGCUUGAAAGAGAAGUUGCUGCAACCGUGCCAGCAAAUUCAUGCAUUAAUGUUAACAUCACACACUGACAUGAAUGCUUUGUCAUUGAAUUCAAAGCUCAUCGGUGCCUAUGCAAGUUGCGGGGAUCUAGGUUCUGCUGAGCUUGUGUUCCAAAGAACAACAAACCUGAAUAUUUUUGCAUUUAAUUGGAUGAUUUCAGCUGAGAAAUCCAUUGGGUACUUCUCUCUUCUUCAUCAAUCAAGAACUAUUCCGAACACGUACACAUUUGCUGUAGUGUUAAAAGUAUGUGUUGGUCUAAUGGAUCUGAACAAAGGAAAGGAAGUGCAGAGUAUGAUAUAUAGAAUGGGAUUUGAGUCAGAGCUAUCGGUUGCCAAUGUCUUGAUUAAUAUGUAUGGCAAAUGUGGCAGUACGGAAUAUGCUCGUUUAGUUUUUAAUCUAAUGGUCGAGAGAGAUAUUGUAUCCUGGACAUCAAUGAUAUAUUCAUAUGCUAACGUAGGGAAAAUUGAAGAAUCCUUUAUUUUGUUUGAAAAAAAUGAGGUUAGAAGACCUAAAGCCUAAUGAUUUUACAUGGAAUGUAAUGAUCGCUGGAUAUGCUAGGAGAGGAGACUGUGACACAGCUUUUAUGUUACUCUCAAAAAUGAGUGAAGAGGGGUUGACUCCAGAUUUGGUUACCUGGAAUGCAAUGGUCUCAGGGUAUGUUCAGAGCCGCAGAUCAACUGAAGCUGUAGCAUUAUUGCAGGAAAUGUUGGAUGCUGGAGUGAAGCCUAAUGAAAUCACGCUCACUGGGCUUCUGCCAGUCUGUGGGUUGAUUGACUCUGCAUAUACAGGGAAAGAAAUCCAUGGCUUAGCAUAUAGAUUAGAGCUUUUUGCUAACGUCUUUGUUGCUAGUGCUCUCAUUGACAUGUACAGUCGAUGUGGGAGUGUAGAAGAUGCUUGGAAUGUUUUCAGUUCUAUUCCUUUCAAGAAUGUUGCAUCAUGAAAUGCUAUGAUAAGUUGUUAUGGGAAGCAUGGCAGAAUAGAACAUGCAAUCAAACUUUUUGAGAAGAUGCAGUAUGAAGGAGUGCUGCCAAAUGAAGUAACCUUAACUUGUCUUCUUUCUGCAUGUAGUCAUGGUGGUUUAGUUGAGAAGGGUUUGAAGAUCUUUUGGUCCAUGGAGGAGUCUUAUGGCAUUAGAGCAAGGAAAGAGCAUUAUGCUUGUGUUAUUGAUCUUUUGUGUCGUGUCGGGAGGCUUACAAUAUAGUCAAAGAUAUGGCAAUAGAAGUUACAGAUUCAAUUGUUGGUGCUUUCUUCAGUGGCUGUAAGGUCUAUGCAAGGAGAGAUCUUGCUGAAAAGAUGGCUAAGGAUAUAUUACAGAUGGACCUGAAGAAGCCUGAAGGUCUUGUAGCCCUUUCAAACAUUUAUGCUGCUGAGGGAGAGUGGGACAAUGUUGAGAAUGUGAGGAACAUGAUGAAGGACAAGGGAUUCAAUAAGAUGCCUGGUUCCAGUUGGUUGUAGAGGAGCAUGAUACACAGAAAUAGAUAUAGGAUUGUGACGCAACAUUUGCUUUUAAACUAUUAGAUAAUGGUAAGAACGUAUAAGAUAUACUUGCGUUGCUUUUUGCAAUAGUGUUGAAAAAUGAUUCAUCAAGGUUUCACUUCCUUUUCAAAAGAACCUAUGUUUCAGGAAUGAGGAAACAUGAUAUAAAUAUACUUCCGCCCUUAACCAUAUGAUCUGAGUUCAAUGCUUUGUGCCUUUACACUUCAUAAGUUGGAAAUGUUGUUCAUCUUGAUGGCAGCUUCAGCUACAUUAAGUGCAAAUCUGUGAAUUCUUCAUCCAUGCCCCUUUGUUUUUAAAAAACAAGUAGAUUCUUACUUGAAUUUCUUCCUUAUUUUGUGCUCCUUGGCUCAAAAAAGAAGUAUACUGUCACUUUGAAGUGGCCUUUUAGUUUGGUCACUUUUAAGUUAUGAUAUUACGCUAUGAAGUCCAAUUUUGGGGAUUGAGGUUUAGUUUGAUCGAUUGACUCUGUUGUCCAUAACUCAAUUAGUAUUUUACUGGUUGUUAGGUUUGGUUGUAUUCUUUGUUCAAUUUUUUCUCUCUCUUUCUUUUCUUGGAUGCAAUCUUGUCCCCGGAACUAGCUGUACAUUGUAUUGUAGAAGUAGCUUAUACUGUUGAAGUGUGAUCAUCUCAUCUAUAAGCUAAAAGUUACGUGGUUAGAGAAGGCAUACUUUUAAUUAUUUAAUUAUUUAAUUAUAUCAUAUCUCAAUACGCCCCCUUACAUGUGAUUCUUUUUAUUGGGCUAAAUACCUGAAAAUUCCUUACACUGUGCGACUAUCUCACUGUUAGACUGAGCACAUUUUUAAUUAUUUGAUCGUAUUAUAUCUCAAUAAAUUCACUGAGCAGUUGAUUUCAGUUUGCGUUACUAGUUUCCUUUUUUUGGAUCUACUCGAAUAGACUUUCUAAGAAAAGCUUCGUUUUUUUUAAAAAAUAAUGUCAAGACAAUUGAGGAUCCAAAAUAAGCUAACUUUUCAGGUAAUAUAUUUAAUAUUACAAAAUCAAAAACUAAUUUAGCAUAUUUUUUAUUUAAAAUCAUAAAAUUCAAGAAAAAACAAUUUUAGGGUCUGUUUGGAAAGUCAUCCGAUAAUUGAAAUUGAUGUAAUUAUUAUGAUAGUAAUUACCAAUCUAGUAAUUACACUAACCUGUUUGAUUGCCACAGUAUAAUUACCUUUGUCAUGUUUGAUUGGAUUAAUAUAAUUACACAACUAAGUUUUAAAAGAGUUUAACUACUAUCCACCGACGGUGGACAAAAAAUUACACGGGCAUAUUAUUUUUGGAAAUAUUUAAUUUUUUUAAUUAAUAUAUUUUAAUAUUAUUAAUAUUAAAAUAAAAAUAAUAACAGAGUGUUAUAUGGUAACUUGAAUUAUAAAUUAAUUGUACAAAUUUAAUUAGGAUUCUUAUUUGUCUUACCAAAAAUAAAAAAUACAUAAUUUCUUGUGUUUUCUUAUUGGAAAGCACUUCAAUCCUUCAAAGAAAAUCAUUGCCAACAUAUUAUUUUUUUUAUAAGAACCGGUACUUGUUGCCAUUGAAGCAAUGCUAGCAAAAUAUUAAUAUGAAACUAUUCCAGAAACAUAAAGUGCAACAAAAUCAACAUACAAACUUAUAAGAGUAAGCAAACAAAAUCAAACACUAUUAAAUACGGCCCAUGAUUUAAUCACAAUUGCAUGCUUGGUUACAAAUUUUAUUCUUUCGGUGAAAAUUUUUUGUUGCUAUACGUUGUUAUUGCUGCUGCUAUGUAUCAGAGAGUGGAGUAUCCUUGCUAACAUAUAUGAAGGCAUAAAAGAGUAACUAAUUCACUAUGAAUAAAAACACAAUCAACAAAAAAAACUAAAGCUAAAACUCUGAGUUAUUGUAUGUAAACUUAAAAGAAAAAAAAGUCUUGAACAAAAAAUAUCCCUGGAUUUAUAUUCUGCCAAAGAAAGAAAACAGAACAAAAUGAAUUUUGAAUAAUUGUCUCUCUAGACAUCCUUUAUAGUUUUAAAUUCCACAAACUCCAAGUCACCUUGUAGAUUAGAAACCUCUUUGAUAUGGAUACGAAGUUGCUCUCAUCAAAUCCUGAAACAGUAAUUGUUUACAAAUGCAUAUAUGCUAUAAAUAAAAUACAUACAAGCGCAGUAAAAUAAACCCACCAUAAAUGAGGUUGGAUAUGAAUCAGCACGACUACUUUGCCCUUCAAAAGGUUCUGAAUAUGCUGAGAAUUCCUUUAAAAAUGAUUAAAUAAAAGAAAAAUUUGUUAGCUAAAAAGAGAAUGAUACAUAAGAAUAAGUCUUAGUCAAAAUUCACAUAAUUUAUCAAAAUAAAACCUUACCAUUGUAGGAUCUGCAUUAAUGAUUGUUUCCCUGCUAUUGAAUUCCUUUUCAACAUUAAUGUGUGAACUGAAAAUUAAGCAAAUAAUUGAAAUAUGUGAUUUAUUCAAUGAAUUCACAUUAAAUUAAAGAUCAAACUAUAAAAUUACCUUACUCCUUUGCCUUUUUUUCUGAUUUUGGUUUCUCUUUUUGAUUUCAGCGAAGAGCUUCUUUUAACCUUCUGAGAACUUUCUAAACCACUUUUCAUUCUCAAAGAACGAGGACGUCCUUUAGUAGCCACGCAUGGAGGGUCAAGCAAACUAAAUUUUUCUCUUUGUUCACUUGAGUUCAAAUCAUUAUUUGACUCGUUAACUUGAUCAUCACAAACAUUAUCAUUAUCCUCAUAUGGAAGUUCAUCAAGUUCUUUACUUAGUUGCAACAAUUUCUGAUAUGUAAAUUUAUAAUGUUUUUCUGAACGAGUAGCUCGUUCAGAGAGCCCAAGAGAAUGUGUCAUAAUGUUAUUAAACCAUAUAGUAGAAGACUUCAGAUUAUACGCAAGCGAUCCUGCACUUGAAAUGUCAUUAGCUUUUUCUGUAGUUGCAUACCUUGUCCAUCGAUCCAAUAAAUAACAUGGUGGAAGCGAGUGAAUCUGUUUCUUUAUAAAUAUCAUAAGCACAUGUCUACACAAAAUUCCCAUGAACUCAAACUUAUGACAAGAACAAGUAGCAUUCUUUAAUUCAAGAUUCAACCUAACAAUAUAUGUCGGUGUUUCUCUCUGAAACAAAUGCACUUUAUAAAUAUGUAUCCCAUCCUGAACCUCAAUUUUUUCUGAAAUAAAUUUUUGAGAUUGAAUUAACUCUUCUUGAAAUUUUUGAAAUAUUUUUCUGGUAUAUAUUUUGGCUGCUUCAUCCUCCGUUGGAUAUAAUGUUUUCAAGAUAGCCUUUGAAUGCUUUGUCUUAUAAUCCUUCUCCCUUACUUUGUCAUACCUAGCGUCAACAACUUUAUCAUAUUGCGUCACAAAUACACUCAUUGGCGUACUAGAGUUAAGAUAAUCUUUAAAGUAUUUAUUCAUACUUUCACUUCUUUGAGUUGUUGACAUUCCAGCACAAAAAGUAGUUCGCACAUAUGCUGGAAUCCAUUUCUCGCGAAUGGUGUAUAUCUUACGCAACCAAAUAUGCUCUUCUAAAUUGUACAUUUUCAUUAUAUCGAUCCAAGCAAUUUCAAAUUCCUCAGGAGUUGUUGUACAAUGUAAACACUUACUAAACUUAUUUUUAAAAUCAUCAAAUGCAUGAAAAACAUGACUUAGAUAUUCAGGAAUCUUCUUCUCAAUGUGCCACAUACAAAAAUGGUGUGCACUAUUCGGGAACACCUUUGCAACUGCAUUUGUUAUUGCAGCAUCUUGAUCUGUGAUUAUUGUACGAGGGGAAAUACCAAACAUUGCCUCUUGCCAAGUAUGAAGUAACCACUGAAAAGUUUCUUCCGUUUCAUCCCAAAGAAGAGAACAUCCAAAUAAAAUGGAUUGGUGAUGGUUAUUAACUCCGGUAAAUGGAACAAAAGACAUCUUAUAUUUAUUUGUCAAGUAUGUAGGAUCAAAUAGGACAACAUCUCCAAAAUUCUUGUAAGCUAUCCUAGACCUAGCAUCUACCCAAAAACAAUUAGCUAAAUGACCCUCCACAUCCAUUUGUAUUGCAUAAAAGAAUCCUGGGCUAUCAGAUUGUCGCUUUUGAAAGUAUUUCAACAUCAAUUGUGCAUCUCCUUUCUCAAGACAAUUUUACCUUUUAGUGCUCAAAUAAUUCUGAAUAUCUCGUCCAGUUAUAUUGAGAUUCUCUAUGCCUCCCGCCUGAGUAGUUAACACUGAUGCGAUUUUACUUGGACGAAUACCAGAAUUAUUUAAGAGAUCAAUAAGAUUUUUUUGAGCCUCUGAUUUUUUUCUUUUUGAUCGCAAGAAUUUCUGACUAUUAGGAGAAGCAAGUUCAUGAUUAUGAUUCAAGGCAAGCCUAGCUAUAACCCACUUUUCUUCUUCUUUCUUUGACAUAUAUAUCAUCACUUUGCACCCCUCUCUAGUCUCAUCUCGUUGCUUAUUACUCUCAAGACAUUUUUUUGAACGAAAUCCUUCUUUUGAACAAACAAACUCUUGACCAAUAAUGGAUUUAUCUUUUCUUGAUCUACUAAUUCGAUUUUUUGCCCACACUAAAACCAUUACGAUGAGCAUAAUCAAGAUAAAAUUUAAAUCCAGUAUCAAGUGAUUGAAAUUCCAUACCGAUGUAAGGCUCUCUUAAUUCUUGCUCACCUAGUUGAGGAACAAAAGAUACAACUGCAUUCAUGUUGCUUUCUAUAUCCUCCAAGGAAUCUUCAAUUCCUUCUGCAUUUUGCUCUUCUAAAUUAGAGAUUUCAAAAGUUUCCUGCAAUACACAAUUAUUAGAUAUUAGACUGAUAGGGUAAGUUAGCUUUAAAAUUUUAAAUAUUUUUCAUGGCUAAUGUAUUGAACUUCUUCAAUUUGCUAAAAAGUUCUUAAACGUAUUCUUUAAAUAUCUUCAUCACUACAAAACAUAAAUUUCCUCAUACAUUAAAACAAGAAUAUUUCUUUGAAACGUUUAUUCAUGUUGCGAAAAAGACUUAAUAAGUUAUGUAAAAAAAGAUAUACGAGGAAAACGCUACCAUGAUAAUUGUUUCAAAUUGCUUCAAUGGUGGAUAGUUGGUUGCUUCAAUGGUUUAUGUAGAAAAAGAAGAACGUUAAUACAACUAAGAAAACACAAGAAAUUAUGUAUUUUUUAUUUUUGGUAAGACAAAUAAGAAUCCUAAUUAAAUUUGUACAAUUACUUUAUAAUUCAAGUUACCAUAUAACACUAUGUUAUUAUUUUUAUUUUAAUAUUAAUAAUAUUAAAAUAUAUUAAUUAAAAAAAUUAAAUAUUUCCAAAAAUAAAAUGUCCGUGUAAUUUUUUUGUCCACCAUCGGUGGAUAGCAGUUAAACUCGUUUUAAAAUAAAUCAAAUUUUGAAUAAAUAAUAUUACAGCUUCAUUAAUUAAUGUAUACAAAGUUUUCUUCUAGCCACAAUGACAAACAAAAUAAUGAAACUCAUCAUGCCAAAAUAUUAUUGAACUUAUCAUGCCAGCUUUGUAACUUCAUAUUUUAUGUGCAUCAUUUUCCAUAUAUAGCUGCAAGCGAUGUUUUUAGAGAAUAAGAUAAAUGAGCCACAAAAGUUUAAAGAAAGCACGUGAGAUAUCCAUAAAAAUCAAUUUUUUUUACAUAAAUCUCAAGGUACCUCAAGUGAGUUAGAAAUUGUAUCGCACUACGCCAAGAAUUUGAGGUUUGCAUCUAGAAAAUGUAACAAGUAACUUCUGAACAAGCUAAGUCUUAGUUUUACAAGUAAAUGUAAAACAUUUGUUACAACUUUGCAAGUAAGCCUGCCACCUUACAACACAGGGCUAAAAACAGAAGGAUGUCCAUGUAUAAUCUUCAAAUGGAGAAAUACAGAUUCAAGAAUGGCACAACUGAUUACGAAAUGAGAAUUAUGCACCUAAAUGAAAAGGGAAUUGGAUCGUCUAUGUAACUUGAAGCCGUCAUAUCUUACAUGAAGCUAUUCUGAAGUAUCCACUACUUCUUCUCAUUAGUCUUCUUCUUGAAUGACCCACUUCGUGCUGCUUUUGUUUUCGUCCACUCCUUCAUUAAAGCAGCACUCUUCAUGAAAGAACAAGUUUCGUUGUAGUUAGUAUCUCCUACAAGUGCUUGUUUUGAUGCAGAUACAUGUUCCUUUUCGGGGGUUGGAGCACUGGCUUCAUUCUUCUUUGUUUCUUUCUGCUGAUAGUUGUUCAACACUGGAAGCUCUUUACUGAAAUGAACAUUAUUCUGCUUCUCAACAGAAACAUCUUGCGAAACACUUUUAUCCAUGCUGUAGAUUUUUGUGCUUUUCCGGUCUCUCCUAUCACUGGCAACUCUGGUUUUGGAAGACAUAGACCAGGCAAAAUUUGCGAAAUGCUGAAAGAACUUCUGGUGGCAUCACGAACCAAUUCUGUCCAUGAAGAUUUUUGUCGCCAUGCAGCACCUCUGACAUAAAUAUCUACAGGGCUAUUGUCAGUGGCAAUUUUAUCCAGCUCCUCGUGCUGAUCUGAUACUUUCUCUUCAUAUUCAACUUUAUCCAGCUCUUCGUGCUGAUCUGAUGCUUUCUCGUCAUUUGAUAAUUCAUCUUCAGAUUCAACUUUAUCCAGCUCUUCAUGCUGAUCAAAUACUUUCUCAUCGUUUGAUACUUCAUCUUCAGAUUCAACUUUAUCCAGCUCUUCAUGCUGAUCUGAUACUUCCUCAUCGUUUGAUACUUCAUCUUCAGAUUCAACUUUAUCCAGCUCUUCAUGCUGAUCUGAUACUUCCUCAUCGUUUGAUACUUCAUCUUCAGAUUCAACUUUAUCCGGCUCUUCAAGGUGAUCUGAUACUUUCUCAUCGUUUGUUACUUCAUCUUUUUCGUCGGAGGAGAACUCACUAACACCAUCAGAACCAGACUGCAUCUCUUUAACGGGAAUAGCACUCGGCAAAAUAUCCAAUACACUGAAUGAAGCACCACUAUUAGCACUAACAAGAUCUUUCCAUGGAGACUUCUUUGGCAAUUUGGCACUUCUAUUUAAUAGUUGGCUAUCUCGUGUGACUUCCAAACUCUGCUUUGCUUCAGCUUUAGACAACAACGUAUGUGCCUCACCAUCUUUAACCUCUGAAGGUGCUUUACGCUUUCUGUUUGAGGGCAUCGUCUUUCCUUGCUUUUGUUUAUCCGUAGCAAGUCGUGAUUCCUUGGAUAGCGAAUUCUGUUCACACGACACCCAUAAAAAGGAAAAAGUAAACUAAGAUGCUUAUACCAUGAGCAGGGAAAAUAAAAAAUAGAACAUAACAGAAUAUGAACCUGAAUAGCUGCAACUGCUUCCAGGGUUGGAUCUUUGAACAUAGUGUUUCUAUCCUGCCACUACAUUGAUAAUAAGGUUGUCAUCAUCGUUAUCCAUUUCUUGGUCAACAAAAUCUUCAUUAGCCUGAAUAGCUGUCAUUGCUUCCUGGAUUGGAUCUUUUACCAUAAUCAUUCUAUCGUUUGCACCAGCCACCAUAUUGAGAAUGAGGUUAUCAUCAUCUACCAUUUCUUGGUUGACUAGAUUCUUGUCAUUCUGCAAAUGAUCAACUGUACCAUUUGAGCUUUGAACUUUCUUAGAUAAUUUAAAAUCCCUAGGGGUUUCCUCAGAAUAGUUCUCCCUCUCAAAAAUUCUGUUC
RNAcentral lists this long non-coding RNA (24875 nucleotides) under Solanum lycopersicum (tomato). RNAcentral's name for it is "long non-coding RNA (SLYC_LNC000435)". The record is from RNAcentral. Lineage: Eukaryota; Viridiplantae; Streptophyta; Magnoliopsida; Solanales; Solanaceae.